UGUACUCAAGAGAGACAAAAAUAAAGAUUAAAGAUUUUUUGGAUCUUUAAAAGAGAAAUUUUGAAAUAAGAUUUUUUAGGGUGAUACAAUCUUAAGUUAAGAAUUUUAUGCUAAAUGCUAAGUAAGCAGAGAUGCCGUAAAUCAUUGUGCCAUGUGAACGUUGGUCUCGGGUUCAAACUCUAAUCGAUUUUUCCAUUCCUAAAACAAGAUUAUAAUCUUAUAACACUGACGAAGUUGUGGGCUUAGCUGGCUCGUUUUCUAACCAAAUGAAUUCCGAUUUGUAUCAGCAAAUGUAUUGCUCAUUAAAUGUUUAGGCUUA
Molecule: long non-coding RNA, 319 nt
Organism: Drosophila nasuta
Lineage: Eukaryota; Metazoa; Arthropoda; Insecta; Diptera; Drosophilidae
Exons: 2
Source: RefSeq, a predicted model, not a curated record